Molecule: ribosomal RNA, 948 nt
Filed under: Triticum aestivum (bread wheat)
Lineage: Eukaryota; Viridiplantae; Streptophyta; Magnoliopsida; Poales; Poaceae
Description: partial small subunit ribosomal RNA
Source: RNAcentral
AUGAACGUCUGGCAGAGCAAAGCUGAUGACUACUCGACAGUUCAGUGUGCCAUGCUUUACGGCUUAGAAUCGGGACUUCAACGACGUUUUGAACGUCAUGGAGCAUAUGAUAUGUUCCAGGAGUUGAAGUUAAUAUUUCAAGCAAAUGCCCGGAUUGAGAGAUAUGAAGUCUCCAAUAAGUUCUACAACUGCAAGAUGGAGGAGAAUAGUUCUGUCAGUGAGCAUAUACUCAAAAUGUCUGGGUAUAACAAUCACUUGAUUCAACUGGGAGUUAAUCUUCCUGAUGAUAGUGUCAUUGACAGAAUUCUUCAAUCACUUCCACCAAGCUACAAGAGCUUCGUGAUGAACUAUAACAUGCAAGGGAUGGAUAAGACAAUUCCCGAGCUCUUCGCAAUGCUAAAGGCUGCGGAGGUAGAAAUCAAGAAGGAGCAUCAAGUGUUGAUGGUCAACAAGACCACCAGUUUCAAGAAAAAGGGUAAAGGGAAGAAGGGAAACUUCAAGAAGAACGGCAAGAAAGUUGCUGCUCAAGUGAAGAAACCCAAGUCUGGACCUAAGCCUGAGAGUGAGUGCUUCUACUGCAAAGGGACUGGUCACUGGAAGCGGAACUGCCCCAAGUAUUUGGUAGAUAAGAAGGAUGGCAAGGUGAACAAAGGUAUAUGUGAUAUACAUGUUAUUGAUGUGUACCUUACUAAUGCUCGCAGUAGUACCUGGGUAUUUGAUACUGGUUCUGUUGCUAAUAUUUGCAACUCGAAACAGGGACUACAGAUUAAGCGGAGAUUGGCUAAGGACGAGGUGACGGUGCGUCUGGGAAAUGGUUCCAAAGUCGAUGUGAUCGCGGUCAGCACGCUACCUCUACAUCUACCUUCGGGAUUAGUUUUAGACCUGAAUAAUUGUUAUUUGGUGCCAGCGUUGAGCAUGGACAUUAUAUCUAGAUCUUGUUUGAUGUGA